UUGAUUAGAGAAGAAAGUCCCUAAAAGGAUUUUCGCCGACAAAGCUUUGUUUGCCCUUUAUCACUUCCUAAAGUUGCAAACAUUUUUACUGUAUAUCUCUGAAAAUAUUGAUUUUAGAGAAAAAAGUUUCAAACAAAAAAUGAAGUUCAUAAAAAGCUCUACAAAAAAGGUUAUGUCCAUUUUUUACGUAAACCUAUUAUUUUGGCUAUCAUGAAGAAAAAAAGCUUUUUUUCUCUCAACAUUUUAAAAGCUUUCAUUAUGUAUCUCAGAAAAGAUUAGCGUAAAAAAUAGGUAUAGAAAAUGCGUACUAUAAAGACACACACACGCGCGCGCGCGCGCGCAGGGGGAUGCAAGGAGGGCCUUUGGCUCUUUCCCUCCCGUAUCCCGCUAAUAGAGAUACCCUGAACAGAAAUGCGCAAAAUUCAAAUGAAUACGUAUAUAAUAAGAAUCUCGUUUCAAAUGCGCACAGACCAAAUACGCACAGUGCGAAACGGACACAGUCGCAAACCCAUGUGGUGCAGAGAAUGCUUUGCACACACACACACACACACACGGGGGGGUGCAAGGAGGAGCUUCGCCCCCCUCCCGCACCCAUCCCGUCGGUAGGGGUGCUCUGAAAAGUUGCAACCCAUGUGAUAAGUUCGUGCGCAUUUGAUCCGUGCGCAUUUGUUACUGUAAUCCUAACUUUAAUCCAAUCAAUUUUAAGUCAUUAUUUAAGUUUAUGAAUAUCCAAUUGACCAUGUUACAAUGUCAAUUGGAUAUACAUAAACCAAGAGAGUGCCUACAAUAGACCCAUCCACGCGCGUGUGUUUAUACGAGUAAAAUCCUGUUAAUCCAAAAUUAAAAUUAUUUUAUUUCAUAACAGUUAUUAUAAUUGCCAAAAUAAUAGGUUUACGUAAAAAAUAUAUACAGUAAAAAUGUUUGCAACUUUAGGAAAUGAUAAAGGGCAAAUAAAGCUUUGUCAGUGAAAAUCCUUUUAGGGACUUUCUUCUCUAAUCAAGGGUAAGCUUUGGUUAAAAUUUCAGCGCGAUUGGAGGUUUCACCUUUUCGGAAGUACACCCAAAAGUUCCAAUAAAACAUAUACUAACAAUGAAAUAAUUAACUUCGAAUAAUAUAUAACAUUUAUAUAUUAAACUGUCACUUUUAAUUUCUUUGAUAAUAUUUAAUAAGAAAUAAGAUAUAAGUAUUUCAAAAACAAAUACGUAACAUAACAAAAAAUUAACCUUUAAAUAAACAGUUGUUUUCAUCAACACAAAUACUUUCCGUCUCAAUAUUCAUGUUUGCAAAGCAUGAAUGUUUAAAUAAAUCAAAAUUUUCUUUUGGCAGUUUAAAAUGACAGUAUGAACACUGAUAAUACUGUAACAAAAAACAAUUAACAUUAUACUUAACCUCUAAUUGUUAAACUAAGAAAACAAUACAUAUAAAUAUUUAAGAUUUUAUAGACUUACAAAAUCUUUUUGUUCUUUACUUACUUCACUAUUUUUAAUAUAAAAUUCCAUUAUUCAUAUAUAAUUUUUUAAUUUAAUACGUAGUAAAAACAAUCUUUAUUAUAAUAAAAACACCUUAGCUUGCAUGAUAGAAAAUGCAGAAUAGCUCGGAUUGGUUGCUUCUAUGACGCACUUUCUAUUCCGCAGCUCUAUUCCGCACUGUGAUUUCAGCCUUACAAUAAUCCACCAACAAAAAAAA
This 1686-nucleotide long non-coding RNA is filed under the name Monomorium pharaonis (pharaoh ant). Its description in RNAcentral is "uncharacterized LOC118645031". Lineage: Eukaryota; Metazoa; Arthropoda; Insecta; Hymenoptera; Formicidae. The record is from RNAcentral.